AAUAGCCUAACGGCUGAACCAGCAACUUGGAAGAAUGUAUAGCUAAGCUAAAUGUUUUUUUUUUACAUUUUUUGUAAGAAACAUAUUCGAUUUACUCGUAUAAAGUUCUAGGUAGAAUUAUGAUAAUGACAUUAUCUAUCUAUAAGUCUUGACCAACAUGCGUGCCAGCAGUCGCGGCAAGACGCUAAAGACUAGUGUUAUUCAUUUUAAUAGGUUUAAAGGGUACCUAGACGGUAAAUUAAGCCUUAAUCGGUACUAAUUUAACUAGAGUUAAAUGUAAGGGUGCAUUAACGUACUAUUGAGUGUAGAGAUGAAAUUCUGUCAUACCAGAUUAUUGGCACGGGUUUAGGCGAAAGCAUCACUUUAUGUAAUAACUGACGUUGAGGGACGAAGGCUUUGUAUCGCUAAAAGGAUUAGAUACCCUCGUAGUCUAAGCAGACAAUGAUGAAUGUCAUAGGUUAAAUAUUGUUUAGUCUAUAAAUGAAAGUGUAAGCAUUCCACCUCAAGAGUAAUUUGGCAACAUUGGAAUUGAAAUCAUUAGACCGUUUCUGAAACCAGUAGUGAAGUAUGUUGUUUAAUUAGAUGGUCCACAAAAAACCUUACCACAACUUGAAUAUUUUACAAGCGUUGCACGGCUGUCUUCAGUUAAUGUCGUGAGAUUUUGGUUAGUUCCAUUAAUUAACGUAAACCCUUGCUUUAUUUUUAUAUAAAGUAGUUCGCCGCUAUAUUGGUUAGAUAAAAGGGA
This 745-nucleotide ribosomal RNA is filed under the name Leptogium sp. RNAcentral describes it as "SSU rRNA". It matches the Rfam family "Bacterial small subunit ribosomal RNA", at positions 370 to 1179 of the family's 1533-position model. Lineage: Eukaryota; Fungi; Ascomycota; Lecanoromycetes; Peltigerales; Collemataceae. The record is from RNAcentral.